RNAcentral lists this ribosomal RNA (772 nucleotides) under uncultured Neocallimastigales. RNAcentral describes it as "partial large subunit ribosomal RNA". It matches the Rfam family "Eukaryotic large subunit ribosomal RNA", at positions 24 to 616 of the family's 3401-position model. The record is from RNAcentral. Lineage: Eukaryota; Fungi; Neocallimastigomycota; Neocallimastigomycetes; Neocallimastigales.
UACGACUACAUAUCAGGCAUAUCAAUAAGCGGAGGAAAAGAAACUAACAAGGAUUCCCUUAGUAACGGCGAGUGAAGCGGGAAGAGCUCAAAUUUGAAAUCUUCAAGGUUUACCUUGACGAAUUGUAGUUUAAAGAAGUGUUUUCUGUUGAAGUUUUGGUAAAAGUUCUUUGGAAUAGGACAUCAUAGAGGGUGAGAAUCCCGUAUUUGACCAUUAUUUUCAGCUGUGUGAUACACUUUCAAAGAGUCGGAUUGUUUGGGAAUGCAGUCCAAAAUGGGUGGUAAAUUUCAUCUAAAGCUAAAUAUUGGCGAGAGACCGAUAGCGAACAAGUACCGUGAGGGAAAGAUGAAAAGAACUUUGAAAAGAGAGUUAAACAGUACGUGAAAUUGUCAAAAGGGAAGCGUUUGACACCAGUGUUGUUUUCUCGAAAAUCAAUUAAAAAAAGUCGGAUUUUGUGUUGUAUUGACCUUAACAGCUUGCUUCACUCUUUUCCAGCUUUUUUUAUGCACUUUUCGUUUAACAAGUCAACAUCAGUUUCUUUUGUUGUAAAAGGGUCAUUGGAAGGUGGCUUUCUCUUCGGAGAAAGUGUUUAUAGCCUUUGAUCUCUGCAAUCGGAGAGACUGAGGUCUGCAGCGUAGAUCCUUCGGGGUUAGAUACAUUUGUGCUAAGCUACAGCUUUUCAUAGACAACUUGUUGACUAUGUUUAGUCUUGUGACUUACCCGCUUAUGCUAUUUUACCUACGCUUAGGAUGUUGAGCGCAUGUCUCUCUCU